GUUCUUGAUCCCCAUGAUGGGGAGUUUCCUGAGAAUCUGCUCUGGAUGCCACCAGUGCCUGUGGCUCCGAUCACAAAGCUCUCUCCCAGCUCUGUGAGGUGAUGGAUGGGCUGCGUGGCAUGUGACUCUCUUGCUGGGGAGGGAAGACGCUGAACUGUGGGUGACACAUAAUCUGGAGCCCUUGCAGGCUUAGCCCCUCCAUGGAAUACUAUGAGGACAGCAGGAGCACCCCAGCAAAAGCUCUUGACCUUGACGGAUAGAACGAUGAUUUUGGUUGACCAUCCACCUGGAAGUGCUGGAGGCCAGACCUGUACUGUGAGGAGGUUUCAAUUCAUGAGGAAGCAGAUCCAGGUGGGGGCUGCGUGGCCAGGAUGGGCUCUUACUAUGUCAUCUUGAAUAUUAUGCUCCAGAUAAUCUGCCCGCUUGCUCAGCAUAAAUACAGUGAAGUAUCCUUGCACUUUUUAUUGAGAUGAAAUUUAUAUUCUGUGAACUGCACAGAUCAUAAUUGCAUAACCCACAAAGUGUGACAAAUGCACACACUUCAAUCAAGAUAAAGAAUAAUUUAAUCAUUC
This 572-nucleotide long non-coding RNA is filed under the name Fukomys damarensis (Damara mole-rat). RNAcentral describes it as "lncRNA (ENSFDAG00000032677.1)". The record is from RNAcentral. Lineage: Eukaryota; Metazoa; Chordata; Mammalia; Rodentia; Bathyergidae.